UCAGCUUGUUGGUGGGGUGAUGGCCUACCACAGGCGACGACGGGUAGCCGGCCUGAGAGGGCGACCGGCCACACUGGGACUGAGACACGGCCCAGACUCCUACGGGAGGCAGCAGUGGGGAAUAUUGCACAAUGGGCGAAAGCCUGAUGCAGCGACGCCGCGUGAGGGAUGACGGCCUUCGGGUUGUAAACCUCUUUCAGCAGGGAAGAAGCGAAAGUGACGGUACCUGCAGAAGAAGCGCCGGCUAACUACGUGCCAGCAGCCGCGGUAAUACGUAGGGCGCGAGCGUUGUCCGGAAUUAUUGGGCGUAAAGAGCUCGUAGGCGGCUUGUCGCGUCGGAUGUGAAAGCCCGGGGCUUAACCCCGGGUCUGCAUUCGAUACGGGCAGGCUAGAGUUCGGUAGGGGAGAUCGGAAUUCCUGGUGUAGCGGUGAAAUGCGCAGAUAUCAGGAGGAACACCGGUGGCGAAGGCGGAUCUCUGGGCCGAUACUGACGCUGAGGAGCGAAAGCGUGGGGAGCGAACAGGAUUAGAUACCCUGGUAGUCCACGCCGUAAACGUUGGGAACUAGGUGUGGGCGACAUUCCACGUUGUCCGUGCCGCAGCUAACGCAUUAAGUUCCCCGCCU
Molecule: ribosomal RNA, 624 nt
Rfam family: Bacterial small subunit ribosomal RNA